Molecule: ribosomal RNA, 329 nt
Filed under: uncultured eukaryote
Lineage: Eukaryota
Description: partial 18S ribosomal RNA
Rfam family: Eukaryotic small subunit ribosomal RNA
Source: RNAcentral
CCCUUAGAUGUUCUGGGCCGCACGCGCGCUACACUGAUGCUUUCAACGAGUCUAAAACCUGCUCUGAUAGGGGUGGGUAAUCUUUUGAAUGUGCAUCGUGAUUGGGAUAGAUGAUUGCAAUUUUUCAUCUUCAACGAGGAAUGCCUAGUAAACGCAAGUCAUCAGCUUGCAUUGAUUACGUCCCUGCCCUUUGUACACACCGCCCGUCGCUCCUACCGAUUGAAUGAUCCGAUGAAUAUCAUGGAUUGAGGAUGCAAGUAGGUUCGCCUAUCUUCAUCUUCGAGAAGUGAAGUAAAUCUUAUCAUUUAGAGGAAGGAGAAGUCGUAACA